Molecule: ribosomal RNA, 497 nt
Filed under: uncultured bacterium
Lineage: Bacteria
Description: partial 16S ribosomal RNA
Rfam family: Bacterial small subunit ribosomal RNA
Source: RNAcentral
GAUGAACGCUGGCGGCGUGCCUAAUACAUGCAAGUCGAGCGAACAGACGAGGCGCUUGCUCCUCUGACGUUAGCGGCGGACGUGUGAGUCACACGUGGAUACCCUCCCUAUCAGACUGGGAUAACUUCGGGACACCGGCGCUAAUACCGUAUAAUCUCUUGCACCGCAUGGUUCAAUAGUGAAAGACGGUUUUGCUGUCACUUAUAGAUGUAUUCGCGCCGGAUUAGCUAGUUGGUCAGGUAACGGCUUACCAAGGCGACGAUGCGUAGCCGACGUGAGAGGGGGGUAGGCGACAUGGGAAGGGGAACGGGGACAAGAGGACUAAGGGAGGGAGCAGUAGGGAAUGGGCAGCAAUGGGGGAGAGCAUGACGGAGCAAGGGCGAGUGAGUGAUGAAGGCCUUGGGAUCGUAAUAAUGGGCUAUGAGGGAAGAACAAAUGUGGAAGGAAAUAUGCAGGGAGUGACGGUAACGGGUAAGGAAGCCACGGCUAACUACGUG